RNAcentral lists this ribosomal RNA (1959 nucleotides) under Eptatretus stoutii (Pacific hagfish). RNAcentral describes it as "SSU rRNA". It matches the Rfam family "Eukaryotic small subunit ribosomal RNA". The record is from RNAcentral. Lineage: Eukaryota; Metazoa; Chordata; Myxini; Myxiniformes; Myxinidae.
NCCCUGGUUGAUCCUGCCAGCCGCAUAUGCUUGUCUCAAAGACUAAGCCAUGCAUGUCUAAGUGCGAACGGAAGGACCCGUUGAGACUGCGAAUGGCUCAUUAAAUCAGUUAUGGUCUCUUUGAGCGCUCGGAAGUUACUCGGAUAACUGUGGCAAUUCUAGAGCUAAUACAUGCAAACGAGCGCCGGUCCCCACGGGUGAUGGUUCCCUGACGUCGUGGGGAGGCGCGCAUUUAUCAGCACCAAAAACCGACGCGGUGCCCGCCCACCUUCCCUUCCUUUCCCCUUCGUGGGGUGAGGUCCUUCCUACCUUCGGUGGGGAGGGGGGCCCUUCCUUCGGGGGGGUCCGGGGUUCGGCGUGGGCCCGUCCACGGGAUGGUGACUCUGGAUAAACCAUGGCAGAUCGCUCGGCCUCCGCGCCGGCGACGUUUCAUUCGAAUGUCUGCCCUAUCAACUUUCGAUGGCAGGCUUCGCGCCUGCCAUGGUGGCUACGGGUGACGGGGAAUCAGGGUUCGAUUCCGGAGAGGGAGCCUGAGAAACGGCUACCACAUCCAAGGAAGGCAGCAGGCGCGCAAAUUACCCACUCCCGACACGGUGAGGUAGUGACGAAAAAUACCGAUGCAGGCCUCGGUCGAGGCGCUGCUAUCGGAAUGGGUGCACCUUAAACCCAUGUGCGAGGAUCCAUUGGAGGGCAAGUCUGGUGCCAGCAGCCGCGGUAAUUCCAGCUCCAACAGCGUAAGCGAACGCUGUUGCAGUUAAAAAGCUCGUAUUUGGAAAUCACGCCGGGGCUCGCGGGGGGGACGUGCCGCAAGGCGCGCUUCCUGUCCCCGCCCGUCCCCGGCGGCGAGACUGUCGGAGCCCUGCGGACGCUCUUGGAUGAGUGUCCGUUGCGGGCCGGAAGCGUUUACCUUGAGGAAACUGGAGUGCUCAGAGCGGGUCGGUAGAGCCUGUACACCGCAGCUGGGAAUAAUGGAAUAGGGCCUCGGUCCUAUUUUGUUGGUUUUGCGGGACGGAGGUCAUGAUUGAGAGGGACUGCCGGGGGCAUUCGUACUGCGCCGCGAGAGGUGAAAUUCUGGGACCGGCGCAAGACGGACUAAAGCGAAAGCAUUUGCCAAGAAUGUUUUCCUUAAUCAAGAACGAAGGUCGGAGGCUCGAAGGCGAUCAGAUACCGCCCUAGUUUCGACGGUAAACUAUGCCGACCGGCGAUCGGGCGGCGUCGAAUGGCAUGACCCGUCCGGCAGCCAUGAGGGAAACCAGGAGUUUCUGGGUUCCGGGGGGAGUAUGGUUGCAAAGCUGAAACUUAAAGGAAUUGACGGAAGGGCACCACCAGGAGUGGAGCCUGCGGCUCAAUUUGACUCAACACGGGAAAGCUCACCUGGGCCGGACACGAGAAGGAUUGACAGACUGAGAGCUCUUUCACGAUUCUGUGGGUGGUGGUGCAUGGCCGUUCUUAGUUGGUGGAGCGAUCCGUCUGGUUGAUUCCGAUAACGAGCGAGACUCCGACACGCUAACUAGUUCCGCGACCCCGGUGUGGCCGGCGGACUAACUUCUUAGAGGGACGAGCGGCUGCAAGCCGUGCGAGAUGGAGCAAUAACAGGUCUGUGAUGCCCUUCGAUGUCCGGGGCCGCACGCGCGCUACACUGGACGGGCCAGCGUGUACCUUGCCCUUCGCCGACAGGCUCGGGUAAACCGCUGAGCCCCGUCCGUGAUGGGGACUGGGGCUUGAGACAGUGUCCCACGAACGAGGAAUUCCCAGUAAGCGCGAGUCAUCAGCUCGCGUUGAUUAAGUCCCUGCCCUUUGUACACACCGCCCGUCGCUACUACCGAUCGGACGGUUUGGUGAGAUCCUCGGAUCAGCCCCUGCACGGGCCGUCCGUGACACUUGUUGUCGUCGUGUCGGCUCGUGCCGGUGCGCCGAAAAGAUGAGCGAACUUGACUGUCUAGAGGAAGUAAAAGUCGU